Non-coding RNA from Bradyrhizobium erythrophlei, 239 nucleotides. NCBI's taxonomy places the organism in Bacteria, Pseudomonadati, Pseudomonadota, Alphaproteobacteria, Hyphomicrobiales, Nitrobacteraceae. The record is from Rfam.
GAAUGGCGGCCGCGGCAAAGCUUAGCCAGCAGCCGCGUACCGAGUCUUGCGUGGUGUCCGGUAACGGUCAUUGCGAAGCGUAGACAGGGAGUUUGUAGGCCGGAACAGCAGUGAACGGGAAUAUGGCCCCGAAAUCGAUCGUGGUUGGAGUAGCCGACCUUGUCCCGCUAAGGGGAAGGCAGAAUCCCAGGAGGUGUCAUUGGCGAGCAUUCUGGGAUGCUUCCGGGGUUCUUACCGCC